RNAcentral lists this ribosomal RNA (510 nucleotides) under uncultured bacterium. Its description in RNAcentral is "partial 16S ribosomal RNA". It matches the Rfam family "Bacterial small subunit ribosomal RNA", at positions 28 to 507 of the family's 1533-position model. The record is from RNAcentral.
GACGAACGCUGGCGGCGUGCUUAACACAUGCAAGUCGAACGAAGAGCGACGGAAGCUUGCUUCUAUCAAUCUUAGUGGCGAACGGGUGAGUAACGCGUAAUCAACCUGCCCUUCAGAGGGGGACAACAGUUGGAAACGACUGCUAAUACCGCAUACGAUCUAACCUCGGCAUCGAGGAUAGAUGAAAGGUGGCCUCUACAUGUAAGCUAUCACUGAAGGAGGGGAUUGCGUCUGAUUAGCUAGUUGGAGGGGUAACGGCCCACCAAGGCGAUGAUCAGUAGCCGGUCUUAGAGGAUGAACGGCCACAUUGGGACUGAGACACGGCCCAGACUCCUACGGGAGGCAGCAGUGGGGAAUCUUCCGCAAUGGACGAAAGUCUGACGGAGCAACGCCGCGUGAGUGAUGACGGCCUUCGGGUUGUAAAGCUCUGUUAAUCGGGACGAAAGGCCUUCUUGCGAAUAGUGAGAAGGAUUGACGGUACCGGAAUAGAAAGCCACGGCUAACUACGUG